Molecule: ribosomal RNA, 305 nt
Filed under: uncultured bacterium
Lineage: Bacteria
Description: bacterial SSU rRNA
Rfam family: Bacterial small subunit ribosomal RNA
Source: RNAcentral
CAAGCCCUACGGGGGGCAGCAGUGAGGAAUAUUGGUCAAUGGGCGGGAGCCUGAACCAGCCAAGUCGCGUGAAGGAAGAAGGUACUUAGUAUUGUAAACUUCUUUUGUCAGGGAACAAAGGCGGGGACUAGUCCCCGGAUGAGGGUACCUGAAGAAAAAGCAUCGGCUAACUCCGUGCCAGCAGCCGCGGUAAUACGGAGGAUGCGAGCGUUAUCCGGAUUUAUUGGGUUUAAAGGGUGCGCAGGCGGCCUGUUAAGUCAGCGGUAAAAUCCCGGGGCUCAACCCCGGCGAGCCGUUGAAACUGC